RNAcentral lists this ribosomal RNA (295 nucleotides) under uncultured Pseudomonas sp. RNAcentral describes it as "partial 16S ribosomal RNA". It matches the Rfam family "Bacterial small subunit ribosomal RNA", at positions 1089 to 1382 of the family's 1533-position model. The record is from RNAcentral. Lineage: Bacteria; Pseudomonadati; Pseudomonadota; Gammaproteobacteria; Pseudomonadales; Pseudomonadaceae.
GUAACGAGCGCAACCCUUGUCCUUAGUUACCAGCACGUUAUGGUGGGCACUCUAAGGAGACUGCCGGUGACAAACCCGGAGGAAGGUGGGGAUGACGUCAAGUCAUCAUGGCCCUUACGGCCUGGGCUACACACGUGCUACAAUGGUCGGUACAAAGGGUUGCCAAGCCGCGAGGUGGAGCUAAUCCCAUAAAACCGAUCGUAGUCCGGAUCGCAGUCUGCAACUCGACUGCGUGAAGUCGGAAUCGCUAGUAGUCGUGAAUCAGAAUGUCACGGUGAAUACGUUCCCGGGCCUU